AUUGAACGCUGGCGGCAGGCCUAACACAUGCAAGUCGAGCGGCAGAAGGGAGCUUGCUCCUGGUUUCAGCUGCCGACGGGUGAAUAAUGCCUAGGUAUCUGCCUGGCUGUGGGGGCUAACGUCCGGAAACGGGCGCUAAUACCGCAUACGUCCUGACGGCGUACGUGGGGGAUCUUCGGACCUCACGCUAUCAGAUGAGCCUAGGUCGGAUUAGCUAGUUGGUGGGGUAAAGGCCUACCAAGGCGACGAUCCGUAGCUGGUCUGAGAGGAUGAUCAGUCACACUGGAACUGAGACACGGUCCAGACUCCUACGGGAGGCAGCAGUGGGGAAUAUUGGACAAUGGGCGAAAGCCUGAUCCAGCCAUGCCGCGUGUGUGAAGAAGGCCUUCGGAUUGUAAAGCACUUUUAGUUGGGAAGAAGAGCAGUAAGUUAAUACCUCGCUGUUUUGACGGUACCAAAAGAAUAAGCACCGGCUAACUUCGUG
RNAcentral lists this ribosomal RNA (484 nucleotides) under uncultured bacterium. RNAcentral's name for it is "partial 16S ribosomal RNA". It matches the Rfam family "Bacterial small subunit ribosomal RNA", at positions 30 to 507 of the family's 1533-position model. The record is from RNAcentral.